AGUGAACGCUGGCGGUAGGCCUAACACAUGCAAGUCGAACGGCAGCACAGUAAGAGCUUGCUCUUACGGGUGGCGAGUGGCGGACGGGUGAGGAAUACAUCGGACUCUACUUUUUCGUGGGGGAUAACGUAGGGAAACUUACGCUAAUACCGCAUACGACCUACGGGUGAAAGCAGGGGAUCUUCGGACCUUGCGCGAUUGAAUGAGCCGAUGUCGGAUUAGCUAGUUGGCGGGGUUAAGGCCCACCAAGGCGACGAUCCGUAGCUGGUCUGAGAGGAUGGUCGACCACAUGGGAACGUGAACACGGACCAUGCGCCUAAGGGAAGCAACAGUGGGGAAUAUUGGACAAUGGGCGCAAGCCUGAUCCAGCCAUACCGCGUGGGUGAAGAAGGCCUUCGGGUUGUAAAGCCCUUUUGUUGGGAAAGAAAAGCAGCAGGUUAAUACCCCGCUGUUCUGACGGUACCCAAAGAAUAAGCACCGGCUAACUUCGUG
RNAcentral lists this ribosomal RNA (492 nucleotides) under uncultured bacterium. RNAcentral describes it as "partial 16S ribosomal RNA". It matches the Rfam family "Bacterial small subunit ribosomal RNA", at positions 29 to 507 of the family's 1533-position model. The record is from RNAcentral.